Odontomachus brunneus is the source of this 1922-nucleotide long non-coding RNA. RefSeq lists it as uncharacterized. The transcript has 2 exons. The record is from RefSeq and is a predicted model, not a curated record. Lineage: Eukaryota; Metazoa; Arthropoda; Insecta; Hymenoptera; Formicidae.
UAUAUAUAUAUAUAUAUAUAUAUAUAUAUAUAUAUAUAUAUAUAUAUAUUAUAAGUUUUCUUCUUGUUAUUGUUUUUAUCUUGUUAUUGUGGAAGUUAUGUUUAUUUUGGGUAAUUAUUUAGAAGACGGAUCUCACCUUCGAUUUCGCUGAAACUCACCUAUCUUAUGUAUUUCGAUGCGUAGAAAAAUCUGAAAGUUAAAAUCGUCGCUCUACAAACCGAGAAAUUAAUUGUUAAAGAUGCUAGGUAUGAUAGGUUAGAAAACCUGUCAUUGCAACGUAAAGUUUGUUCGUAGAGUUGCCUUUUCUGUAUUGGUACAGUAAGUACUGCAAUAUCGAACGACAAGCGGGGGGCUGCUCUCGCACCUCCUAAAAACUAAUCUAACCCAACCUAUCGUCACAUUACCCGUCAGUCAUUGUUUAUUAGUGUUCAACUUUUUUUCUUAAUAAUUUUUUAAUAAACAAUGAUUGAGGCUAAUGUGACGAUAGGUUAGGUUAGGUUAGUUUUUAGGGAGAGUGUGGGGGGCGCAGCCCCCACUCGUCGUUCGAUAUUUUUCGCGUGUUACAAAUGAUAAAAAUGUUAAAAAUAUUCUUAAUUUAAAUAUUUUUAUUAAGUGGAUAUAGGCAAAUAUUUUACACAGAUUCAAUAAGGAAAAAUUAGUAGAUUUUAUAAUGCAACAUAGUGUUUUGGCAAUAAACGUUAUAAUAUUAGUAUUAAUGUAGUAAAAACAUUAAUGUUUCAAUAUAUAACAAUGUAACGGCAGGUUGGGUUGGGUUAGUUUUGGGUUUUUUUUAGGGCGCAGCCCCCCACUCGUCAUUCGAUAUUGCAGUACUUGUUUUAUCAGACUUUAUAUAAACAUACUAGCAUCUUUAAUAAUUAAUUUCUCGGUUUGUAGAGCCAAGCGCCGAACUUUCAGAUUCGGCUUCUACGCAUCGAAAUACAUAAGAUAGGUGAGUUUCAACGAAAUUGAAGGUGAGGCCCGUCUUCUAAAUAAUUACCUUUAUUUUGAUUUUAGUUACAUGUUACAAUGUAUUUAUUAAAUAUACACAUGUAUUUAUUAAAUAUACACAUUUAUUAAAUAUUUAUUACUUCACAUACGUGACGUGCAAACAUAUGUCCGACGACACGCUUAUGUCAAAACGUCACACGUAUAUAAGCUACAUAUAUACUUACGUCAAGGUUUCGGCUAACCAACAUAUAUUACUACUUAUUCAGUUUUACUAAUCCACAGAAAUUUAAUUUGAGCUAUCUAGGGGUUUUCGCUGGUACCAACGGUAUUCCCUCCCUUUUUAUGGAUUUUGUCGUGUAAUUUCUUCUUCUGGAACACCAGUUUCAGGCAUGCGCAGAUGCUUUUUUCCCGUAUGUAAUACAUACUGUUCGGGGUCAAUUUUACAUAGUACUGCGUUCGGGGAGACGCUAUUUACUGUUAUGAGUGUGUUCUGUCCUUGUUUGUUCCCGAAAGUUGAACAAGGACAAAGAACCUAGCUGUAACGUCCGGACUUAUUUUGAAACAUUAAUAAUAUAUUAAUAUAGAUCGGAGGCCGACUUGUUUGAUUUCAGACAUUACUAGAUAUUUUAUACCUAUGUUACUAGACAGAGUCUUAAAAUCGAUGGAUCAACUGUAGACAAGAGAAACCGUAAUCGCUCAAUGCGAUAAGGCGUUCCGCUGCUAACAUAAACAGGAGCAUGAAAACUGAAUCCAAACACCACUCAGGACCGGCGAUAUCGACGCGGUGACAUCGUACCGAUGGAAUGAAUCUCUUCCAUCUCCACGACUCCAUCAGCCAAUCAGCAAACGACUCUUAGCGACAAAGCGACAUAUAAAAACGCGCGCAUUUGUUGAGAAGGCGAUUAUUUCUUCUCAUAAUUAGUCUCUGGUCAUUCUCGUGUACUUAUUUGGAAUAUAUUAGUCGUUAAAUCCGA